RNAcentral lists this transfer RNA (77 nucleotides) under Rickettsiales bacterium. RNAcentral's name for it is "tRNA-Ile". It matches the Rfam family "tRNA". From Rfam's summary of the family: Transfer RNA (tRNA) molecules are approximately 80 nucleotides in length. Their secondary structure includes four short double-helical elements and three loops (D, anti-codon, and T loops). The record is from RNAcentral. Lineage: Bacteria; Pseudomonadati; Pseudomonadota; Alphaproteobacteria; Rickettsiales.
GGGUUUAUAGCUCAGUUGGUUAGAGCGCUACCCUGAUAAGGUAGAGGUCGAUGGUUCAAGUCUAUCUAAACCCACCA